Molecule: ribosomal RNA, 500 nt
Filed under: uncultured bacterium
Lineage: Bacteria
Description: bacterial SSU rRNA
Rfam family: Bacterial small subunit ribosomal RNA
Source: RNAcentral
AAAUGAAUAGACGGGGACCCGCACAAGCGGUGGAGCAUGUGGUUUAAUUCGACGCAACGCGAAGAACCUUACCAGGGCUUGACAUCCCGGGCUCACCUGGGAAACCAGGUUUUCUAACCUUCGGGUUAGACUCGGAGACAGGUGGUGCAUGGUUGUCGUCAGCUCGUGUCGUGAGAUGUUGGGUUAAGUCCCGCAACGAGCGCAACCCCUACUUUUAGUUGCCAGCACUUUGGGUGGGCACUCUAGAGGAACCGCCGGUGACAAAUCGGAGGAAGGUGGGGAUGACGUCAAAUCAUCAUGCCCUUUAUGUCCUGGGCUACACACGUGCUACAAUGGUCGGUACAGAGGGCAGCGAAGCCGCAAGGUGGAGCGAAUCCCAUAAAGCCGGUCUCAGUUCGGAUUGUAGUCUGCAACUCGACUACAUGAAGUCGGAAUCGCUAGUAAUCGCGAGUCAGCAUAUCGCGGUGAAUACGUUCCCGGGUCUUGCACACACCGCCCGU